RNAcentral lists this transfer RNA (72 nucleotides) under Podarcis lilfordi (Lilford's wall lizard). Its description in RNAcentral is "tRNA.Lys". The record is from RNAcentral. Lineage: Eukaryota; Metazoa; Chordata; Lepidosauria; Squamata; Lacertidae.
UUGACAGGUCAGUCGGUAGAGCACGAGACUCUUAAUCCCAGGGUCAUGGGUUCAAGUCUCACAUUGGGUAAA